RNAcentral lists this ribosomal RNA (346 nucleotides) under uncultured bacterium. Its description in RNAcentral is "bacterial SSU rRNA". It matches the Rfam family "Bacterial small subunit ribosomal RNA", at positions 29 to 406 of the family's 1533-position model. The record is from RNAcentral.
AACGAACGCUGGCGGCAGGCCUAACACAUGCAAGUCGAGCGCACCCUUCGGGGCGAGCGGCGGACGGGUUAGUAACGCGUGGGAACGUACCCUUUUCUAUGGAAUAGCCUCGGGAAACUGAGAGUAAUACCAUAUAAGCCCUUCGGGGAAGAUUUAUCGGAAGGAUCGGCCCGCGUUAGAUAGAUAGUUGGUGGGGUAAAUGGCCUACCAAGUCUACGAUCUAUAGCUGGUUUUAGAGGAUGAUCAGCAACACUGGGACUGAGACACGGCCCAGACUCCUACGGGAGGCAGCAGUGGGGAAUCUUAGACAAUGGGCGCAAGCCUGAUCUAGCCAUGCCGCGUGUGU